This 503-nucleotide ribosomal RNA is filed under the name uncultured bacterium. RNAcentral's name for it is "partial 16S ribosomal RNA". It matches the Rfam family "Bacterial small subunit ribosomal RNA", at positions 29 to 523 of the family's 1533-position model. The record is from RNAcentral.
AACGAACGCUGGCGGCACGUUUUAAGCAUGCAAGUCGAAUGGCAGCAGGGGCAACUCUGUGAGAAUGGCGAACGGGUGAGUAACACGUAGGUGAUCUGCCUUGAGGAUGGGGAUAGCCUGUGGAAACACAGGGUAAUACCGAAUGAGCUGACGAGACUUCGGUUUUGUUAGUAAAGGUGCUACGGCACCGCCUUGAGCGGAGCCUGCGGCUGAUUAGCUAGUUGGUGGGGUAAGAGCUUACCAAGGCGACGAUCAGUAGCCGGCCUGAGAGGGUGUACGGCCACACUGGAACUGAGACACGGUCCAGACUCCUACGGGAGGCAGCAGCUAAGAAUCUUCCGCAAUGGGCGAAAGCCUGACGGAGCGAUGCCGCGUGAUCGAUGAAGGUCGAGAGAUUGUAAAGAUCUUUUCUACAUGAGGAAUAAGUCUGGGAGGGAAUGCCCGGAUGAUGACGUUAGUGUAGGAAUAAGCCCCGGCUAAUUACGUGCCAGCAGCCGCGGUAA